Equus caballus (horse) is the source of this 1701-nucleotide long non-coding RNA. The record is from Ensembl. NCBI's taxonomy places the organism in Eukaryota, Metazoa, Chordata, Mammalia, Perissodactyla, Equidae.
CUAUGAGGUAGGCUUAUUGUUCUCAUUUUAUAGGUGAAGAAACAGGCUCAGAGAGGCUGGUAACUUGUCCAAGGUCACACACCUGAUGAGAAUAGCCAGGAUUGAAUUUAGGCAAUCUGGCUUCAGAGCCAUUGUUCUUAGCGGCCAGGCUAUUGUUGGGGCCCAGGGCAGGCCACCCCAAAGUAUCCCACAAUGGCAUACCGAUUAUUUUGAAUUAAAGUUACUUGAGAAGCAGCCAAUGCAAAAAAAAAAAAAAAAAAAAAAUGCAUUUUGCUUCUCCUCUCUCUCUUCCCCAUGAAAGCAGGAAAUAAAUCUCCCUUGUGAAAGGUGCUCCCUGCAUUCUUAUCACCAGAGCUGGGUGAUUCAGGGAGGAGAAGCUGCCUGCUUUGUUCACUCUCCGAGCAUCAUUUCUUUAUGAUCUCUAAUACAUACGUAUUAAACUGGGCUCUUCUGCUAAUCUGGGCUUGUGUCAAUUCUAGUAUUAGUCCAGCCAUAAAAACACAAGAAGGGAAGAAGGGAAAUUCCCGCUCCCCAACAGUAUGUAUGGCAAGGAAGAGCAGAGCUGGGUUUUGUGGGGCCUGAAGUUUUUGAAGAUUAGCCCUGAGCUAACUGCUGCCAAUCCUCUUCUUUUUGCUGAGGAAGACUGGCCCUGAGCUCACAUCUGUGCCCAUUUUCCUCUACUUUAUACAUGGACGCCUACCACAGCAUGGUGUGCCAAUCAGUGCCACGUCCGCACCCAGGAUCCAAACCGGCGAACCCAAGGCCGCUGAAGCAGAACCGUGAGAACUUAACCACUGCGCCACCGGGCCAGCCCAGUGAAAUCUGGAUUAUUGAAGGGCUUCCUAACUGCCCUGGGCACAGACUGGAAACCUGAGGAAGGCUCCUGCCUCCCACCACCACCUGAGCCUGGGGACUGAGCCAGGCCAGAACUGCUGGACCCUGCUGUCUCUCUCCUCCCUCUCUCAAAAACCCGGUACACCCACAUAUAUACGUAAGCCUCAAGCCUACACUUCUUCAUUGCUUCUGUGGGCCAAUGGAAACUGAUAGGUAGUCAGAAAACUGCCUCUAACUUAACCUGUGACCUUGGGCACAUUAUUUCCUCUUUCUGGGCCUCAACUUCCUCAUCUAUAAAAUGGAAGUAAUGGUAAUCCCUGUGCAGCCAGCCUCACAUGGUUAUUGUGAGGAUUAAAGAUGAACUGAUGCCAAAUGUCCAUCACCUGAUGAGUGGAUAAACAAAUGUGCUACAUCCAUAAAGUGGAAUAUUAUUCAGCCAUGGAAAAGAAAUGAAGUUCUGAUACAUGCUACAAUUGGAUGAACCUUAAAAACAUCAACAAGUGAAAGAAGCCAGUCACAAAGACCACACAUUUUAUGAUUUCCACUUAUAUGAAAUAACCAGAAUAGGCAAAUCUAUACAGACGGAAAGUAGAUUAGUGGUUGCCAGGGGCUGCGAGGCGGGCAGGGAGGAACAGGACUGCUCGUGGGUACCAGGGUUCACGUUGAGCUGAUGAAAAUGUUCUGAGAUUGAUUGUGGUGACGGCUGUCUGUGAAUAUACUAAGAACCAUUGAAUUGUACCCUUUUAAAAAGUGAAUUGUAGCUCAAUAAAGCCGUUAUUAAAAACAAUAAGAUGAACUGAUGACCACAACUAUUUAAAAUCAUGAUAAUAAUCUCAGCUGACUUUUAUUCAGCAUUUACCGUAUUCC